This 499-nucleotide ribosomal RNA is filed under the name uncultured bacterium. RNAcentral's name for it is "partial 16S ribosomal RNA". It matches the Rfam family "Bacterial small subunit ribosomal RNA", at positions 30 to 523 of the family's 1533-position model. The record is from RNAcentral.
AUUGAACGCUGGCGGAAUGCUUACACAUGCAAGUCGAACGGCAGCACGGACUUCGGUCUGGUGGCGAGUGGCGAACGGGUGAGUAAUGUAUCGGAACGUGCCCAGUCGUGGGGGAUAACGUAGUGAAAAUUACGCUAAUACCGCAUACGAUCUAUGGAUGAAAGCGGGGGAUCGCAAGACCUCGCGCGAUUGGAGCGGCCGAUAUCAGAUUAGGUAGUUGGUGGGGUAAAGGCCCACCAAGCCAACGAUCUGUAGCUGGUCUGAGAGGACGACCAGCCACACUGGAACUGAGACACGGUCCAGACUCCUACGGGAGGCAGCAGUGGGGAAUUUUGGACAAUGGGCGAAAGCCUGAUCCAGCCAUUCCGCGUGCAGGAUGAAGGCCCUCGGGUUGUAAACUGCUUUUGUACAGAACGAAAAGGUUUCUACUAAUACUAGGAGCUCAUGACGGUACUGUAAGAAUAAGCACCGGCUAACUACGUGCCAGCCGCCGCAGUAA